RNAcentral lists this ribosomal RNA (426 nucleotides) under uncultured bacterium. RNAcentral's name for it is "bacterial SSU rRNA". It matches the Rfam family "Bacterial small subunit ribosomal RNA", at positions 354 to 796 of the family's 1533-position model. The record is from RNAcentral.
GCAAGGAAUAGUAGGCAAUGGGCGCAAGCCUGACCUCGCGACGCCGCGUGAGGGAUGAAGGCCUUCGGGUUGUAAACCUCUUUUUUCAGGGAUGAAUAAUGACAGUACCUGGAGAAUAAGUCACGGCUAACUACGUGCCAGCAGCCGCGGUAAAACGUAGGUGGCAAACGUUAUCCGGAUUUACUGGGCGUAAAGAGUGCGUAGGUGGUUAUUUAAGUCAGAUGUAAAAUCUCCUGGCUCAACUGGGAGGGACCAUCUGAUACUGGAUAGCUGGAGUACAGCAGAGGAAAGUGGAAUUCCCGGUGUAGUGGUGGAAUGCGUAGAUAUCGGGAGGAACACCAGUGGCGAAAGCGGCUUUCUGGGCUGUUACUGACACUGUUGCACAAAAGCGUGGGGAGCAAACAGGAUUAGAAACCCUUGUAGUCC